Molecule: long non-coding RNA, 231 nt
Filed under: Fukomys damarensis (Damara mole-rat)
Lineage: Eukaryota; Metazoa; Chordata; Mammalia; Rodentia; Bathyergidae
Description: lncRNA (ENSFDAG00000027968.1)
Source: RNAcentral
GGUUCCUGUUUGAACACACACGUGCCCUGAGUUUCCGCCUUGCGGCGGGAGGAGAGGAGGCUGGAAUCUCCACACUUCCUCAGCAAGGGCAAUCUUUAAAGGCACUAAGGUGUGACGGCCCAGACUGGCAGCUUGGCAAGUCGGAGCCCAUGGAUACCAGCACACAGGAAUCUGGAUGGUUCCCUCGCUCUGACAGCAGUCAGCACUGGGAACAAAAGGAAUGGAGGGGGG